This 465-nucleotide ribosomal RNA is filed under the name uncultured bacterium. RNAcentral describes it as "partial 16S ribosomal RNA". It matches the Rfam family "Bacterial small subunit ribosomal RNA", at positions 28 to 507 of the family's 1533-position model. The record is from RNAcentral.
GACGAACGCUGGCGGCGUGCUUAACACAUGCAAGUCGAACGGAAAGGCCCCUUUGGGGGUACUCGAGUGGCGAACGGGUGAGUAACACGUGAGUAACCUGCCCUUGACUUCGGGAUAACUUCAGGAAACUGGGGCUAAUACCGGAUAGGAAUCCUUGCUGCAUGGUGGGGGUUGGAAAGCUUCGGCGGUUUUGGAUGGACUCGCGGCUUAUCAGCUUGUUGGUGGGGUAGUGGCUUACCAAGGCUUUGACGGGUAGCCGGCCUGAGAGGGCGACCGGCCACAUUGGGACUGAGAUACGGCCCAGACUCCGACGGGAGGCAGCAGUGGGGAAUAUUGCACAAUGGGCGGAAGCCUGAUGCAGCAACGCCGCGUGCGGGAGGACGGCCUUCGGGUUGUAAACCGCUUUCAGCAGGGGCGAAGCUUGUGGUGACGGUACCUGCAGAAGAAGCACCGGCUAACUACGUG